UACGGGGGGGGCAAGCGUUGUUCGGAAUUACUGGGCGUAAAGGGCUUGUAGGUGGCCAACUAAGUCAGACGUGAAAUCCCUCGGCUUAACCGGGGAACUGCGUCUGAUACUGGAUGGCUAGAGAUUGGGAGAGGGAUGCGGAAUUCCAGGUGUAGCGGUGAAAUGCGUAGAUAUCUGGAGGAACACCGGUGGCGAAGGCGGCAUCCUGGACUGCAACUGACACUGAGGAACGAAAGCCAGGGGAGCAAACGGG
RNAcentral lists this ribosomal RNA (253 nucleotides) under uncultured bacterium. RNAcentral describes it as "partial 16S ribosomal RNA". It matches the Rfam family "Bacterial small subunit ribosomal RNA", at positions 524 to 776 of the family's 1533-position model. The record is from RNAcentral.